GACGAACGCUGGCGGCGUGCCUAAUACAUGCAAGUCGAACGCUGAAGGAGGAGCUUGCUCUUCUGGAUGAGUUGCGAACGGGUGAGUAACGCGUAGGUAACCUGCCUGGUAGCGGGGGAUAACUAUUGGAAACGAUAGCUAAUACCGCAUAAGAGUAGAUGUUGCAUGACAUUUACUUAAAAGGUGCAAUUGCAUCACUACCAGAUGGACCUGCGUUGUAUUAGCUAGUUGGUGGGGUAACGGCUUACCAAGGCGACGAUACAUAGCCGACCUGGGAGGGUGAUCGGCCAAACUGGGACUGAGACACGGCCCAGACUCCUACGGGAGGCAGCAGUAGGGAAUCUUCGGCAAUGGACGGAAGGCUGACCGAGCAACGCCGCGUGAGUGAAGAAGGUUUUCGGAUCGUAAAGCUCUGUUGUAAGAGAAGAACGAGUGUGAGAGUGGAAAGUUCACACUGUGACGGUAUCUUACCAGAAAGGGACGGCUAACUACGUG
This 495-nucleotide ribosomal RNA is filed under the name uncultured bacterium. RNAcentral describes it as "partial 16S ribosomal RNA". It matches the Rfam family "Bacterial small subunit ribosomal RNA", at positions 28 to 507 of the family's 1533-position model. The record is from RNAcentral.